RNAcentral lists this long non-coding RNA (2360 nucleotides) under Brachypodium distachyon (stiff brome). RNAcentral's name for it is "long non-coding RNA (BDIS_LNC004039)". Lineage: Eukaryota; Viridiplantae; Streptophyta; Magnoliopsida; Poales; Poaceae. The record is from RNAcentral.
CGUCCUCCCGAAAAUCCCAAAUCAAUCUCUCAUCGAUCAAUCAUCCCAAAUCCCCCAAUCAAAGCCACCGUCCCGAGGACCGCUCCGGCGGCAGCGGCGGCGGAAAGCUUCCCGCGGCCGCCGCCUCGCCCCGCUCACCCCCAAGCCUUCCCCCUCCUCGUCCGACUCGCGCCGCACCCCGACGACCGCCGGUGGCAAGGAGAAGUCGGCGGCGUCCAAGCCGUCCAAGCCCACGUCGGUCGUGCGGUGGUCCACUUCGUGGAUCCCGAGGGCCCGAGCUCCGUGGAGUCCUCCAAGCUCGUCUAUACCCUCCGGGCUGCCGCCCGGGAGGGCCUCUGUCGGGAAGGACGCGGAGGCUGAGGCGGGCUUGCGGCGGAGCGUGGGCAGUGGGAUCAGGUCUGCUUCUUUAUUUUGUACUCCGUACCAUUUAUGUCCAUGUAUUUUUCCACUACACUGGAUUUUUACAUGUAUUCACCAAAACAUUGUUCAAACUCAGUUGCUGCCAUGUUCAUAAGCAUGCGCACUAUUUUCUUGGCAUCAAUCCCUAGACACAUACACAGAGAUUAACCAUCAACAAAAUUAAUAUCUUGUUAGUUGAUUAAUGGGCAUCGAUCUUCAAUCGGCAAUGAGGAUCCUUCUCCUCUCUUUCCUGAUCAUAAUGCCUCAGUUAGCUGUGCCCUGGUGAACUUGAUACAGUGCACCGUCUGAGCUUAUUCCAUCUUAAGAUCGGUAACACCAUGGUCUUCUGAAGUUAUGCUCUCUGAAGACUUUAUUACCACCUGUGUUCCAAAUCUAGCAGCAAGCACUACUAGGGUCAGGGACCCAUUCCUGGAACUCUGAUCCUAAAUUCCCCUGAUAAUGUGAGCCGUCAUACCCUUCUCUCCGUCUUAUCAAUCAGUUUCGAGUUCACGAAAUGGUAACGGGACAGUCUUUACUGCUCUGAACUUGCCAACAUUGUUCAAGUGUUCAUUCUCCAGCCUGCAAUCCAGUCAACCAUAUACCCGAGUUAUAAUAAAACACUAAACUAAACUAAAGUUAAUGAUUCCAGCUCUAUUCUAAUUUCAAAUACCUGUAGAAGUUCCAAUGCCCCCGCCGGAUUAUUUCUAAUGAGGCAAGUGAAAAGUCCAGCAGGCGAGUCUCCACCUUACCAACACGGAACUUCAUUACGCUCUCAGUCCAGGCCAGGCGAAGUAGUAGAUUGAGCACCUGCGUCGUGAAGGCAUUAGUACUCCUAAAGGUAGUCUUUUCUGUAUCAGUAUUGUACUGCAAAUUGGUUGAACAAAGUGUAAUACCAUGGAAAGAUAGUAGAUGGAUUUAUUCUUCAAGAUGAGCUCAUCUCGCAGCCAUAGGUUCUUAGAUUUAGGGGUGAAGAAGCCCCAGUCCUUGACAAAGUCCCAGUAGAGCUGGUAAGAGGUGGCACCUGAGGACGAAAUGACUACCAUCAACACCCAAAAAGGCGUCGGCGUUGCAGCGUACUUGAACUUAACAGCAGCUGCAACCAUCGCCGAAACAUACUUUCCAGCAUUUGCGAGCUGAUUCAUGUCAUGUUCCUCCAGGUACCUUCUUAAACACUUCAAAACAUGGUGACAAGUUUUAGUUUCAAACUAAUCCUAACAAUUUGAAAUCUUACUAAUAUUCAUAUUUCAAUUUAUACCUGCAUAGCUCUCCAGUAAUAAGGGAGAAAAGAAAUCACAUAGGCUAUGUGUUUGUAUUGCUGGCCAUUUGUACAGGUCUCAUAUGGGUUAGCCUUAAAGCUUCCUGCCAUGAAGUAGCAUGCUGCAAACUCCAUGUGCCUUAAUAAUGGAACCUGGUACAUACAAAUUUAACUUAUAAGAAUUGCAUCUCAAUGCUCCAUUGUUAUAGUAUAAAAGUGAGAUGACUGUUACCUGGCUAGUUAGCUGGUCAGCCAUAAAAAAAUCAGCCAUCAGAACCUGCAUAAUGAGGCAGCCCUGUCAUCUAAAUGUUCAUAACCGUUUGUGAAUCGAAAGCUUCAUAGGUCUCCUUACCUUGUAGAAUGGCGAGAAUAUGAUGUUACGCAAGAUGCGCAUGAAGCAGUACCUUGUUGAGCGGUAGAACACAUUAAACGGACAGAACAGGACUCCUAUUGACAGCUGAAAAGUUUUGAAAACUGAAAUCAGUUGAUACACAACCUGAGCUAUCAAAUAUUCCAUAAUAUAUAGUUUGUGUUCUUACUACUAGGAGCCCGCCAGGCACAGCGUUUGCGUAGGAUGCACCGGCAUUCCUGAGGAACAGGUUGAUGACCAGUGCGGCCACCACAGUGCACAUGAUAGAUGCGGACAUGAGGAAGGCGUCCCUAUGUGUUAGGGCAGUGUUCGGUGCAAAAUCAAAUAUGAAGUUCU